RNAcentral lists this small nuclear RNA (24 nucleotides) under Arabidopsis thaliana (thale cress). RNAcentral's name for it is "snRNA_15532". The record is from RNAcentral. Lineage: Eukaryota; Viridiplantae; Streptophyta; Magnoliopsida; Brassicales; Brassicaceae.
UACUCCGUGAAUCGGAGGCGGGGU